GAAUUUGAUAUUAUUAUUAAAUUUAUUUAAGGAAGUAUGUUUUACUUUAAUAAUUAUAUUUUAUUGGGAGGAUAAUUAAAUAAGAUGAACUUUAAUUUAAAUAUAUAAUUUAACAUUAAUCAAUGAAAUUUAAUAAGGGAAUGAUUAUUAAAUUAGUAAAAAAAUUUUUAUAAUAAUUAUUAAAAAAAUUAAUUACCUUAGGGAUAACAGCGUAAUAUUUUUAGAAAGAUCAUAUUAAUAAAAAUGAUUGC
This 251-nucleotide ribosomal RNA is filed under the name Nylanderia steinheili. Its description in RNAcentral is "partial large subunit ribosomal RNA". The record is from RNAcentral. Lineage: Eukaryota; Metazoa; Arthropoda; Insecta; Hymenoptera; Formicidae.